This 750-nucleotide ribosomal RNA is filed under the name uncultured Methanosarcina sp. Its description in RNAcentral is "bacterial SSU rRNA". It matches the Rfam family "Archaeal small subunit ribosomal RNA", at positions 103 to 851 of the family's 1478-position model. Lineage: Archaea; Methanobacteriati; Methanobacteriota; Methanomicrobia; Methanosarcinales; Methanosarcinaceae. The record is from RNAcentral.
GAUAACCUGCCCUUGGGACCUGCAUAACCCCGGGAAACUGGGGAUAAUUCGGGAUAACGCAUAUGUGCUGGAAUGCUUUAUGCGUAAAAAGGAUUCGUCCGCCCAAGGAUGGGUCUGCGGCCUAUCAGGUAGUAGUGGGUGUAAUGUACCUACUAGCCGACAACGGGUACGGGUUGUGAGAGCAAGAGCCCGGAGAUGGAUUCUGAGACAUGAAUCCAGGCCCUACGGGGCGCAGCAGGCGCGAAAACUUUACAAUGCGGGAAACCGUGAUAAGGGGACACCGAGUGUCAGCAUCAUAUGCUGGCUGUCCAGGUGUGUAAAAUACACCUGUUAGCAAGGGCCGGGCAAGACCGGUGCCAGCCGCCGCGGUAACACCGGCGGCCCGAGUGGUGAUCGUGAUUAUUGGGUCUAAAGGGUCCGUAGCCGGUUUGGUCAGUCCUCCGGGAAAUCUGAUAGCUCAACUAUUAGGCUAUCGGGGGAUACUACCAGACUUGGAACCGGGAGAGGUAAGAGGUACUACAGGGGUAGGAGUGAAAUCUUGUAAUCCCUGUGGGACCACCUGUGGCGAAGGCGUCUUACCAGAACGGGUUCGACGGUGAGGGACGAAAGCUGGGGGCACGAACCGGAUUAGAUACCCGGGUAGUCCCAGCCGUAAACGAUGCUCGCUAGGUGUCAGGCAUGGCGCGACCGUGUCUGGUGCCGCAGGGAAGCCGUGAAGCGAGCCACCUGGGAAGUACGGCCGCAAGGCUG